AUCAUGGCUCAGAUUGAACGCUGGCGGCAGGCCUAACACAUGCAAGUCGAGCGGUAGAGAGGAGCUUGCUUCUCUUGAGAGCGGCGGACGGGUGAGUAAUGCCUAGGAAUCUGCCUGGUAGUGGGGGAUAACGUUCGGAAACGGACGCUAAUACCGCAUACGUCCUACGGGAGAAAGCGGGGGAUCUUCGGACCUCGCGCCAUUAGAUGAGCCUAGGUCGGAUUAGCUAGUUGGUGAGGUAAUGGCUCACCAAGGCGACGAUCCGUAACUGGUCUGAGAGGAUGAUCAGUCACACUGGAACUGAGACACGGUCCAGACUCCUACGGGAGGCAGCAGUGGGGAAUAUUGGACAAUGGGCGAAAGCCUGAUCCAGCCAUGCCGCGUGUGUGAAGAAGGUCUUCGGAUUGUAAAGCACUUUAAGUUGGGAGGAAGGGCAGUAACCUAAUACGUUAUUGUUUUGACGUUACCGACAGAAUAAGCACCGGCUAACUUCGUG
This 496-nucleotide ribosomal RNA is filed under the name uncultured bacterium. Its description in RNAcentral is "bacterial SSU rRNA". It matches the Rfam family "Bacterial small subunit ribosomal RNA", at positions 16 to 507 of the family's 1533-position model. The record is from RNAcentral.